This 152-nucleotide unclassified non-coding RNA is filed under the name Borreliella burgdorferi (Lyme disease spirochete). RNAcentral's name for it is "partial 5S-23S ribosomal RNA intergenic spacer region". Lineage: Bacteria; Pseudomonadati; Spirochaetota; Spirochaetia; Spirochaetales; Borreliaceae. The record is from RNAcentral.
UUUUUAUUUUUAUAUUUUUAAUCUUGAUUUUAUUUUUUAUGUUAUUUAAAUAACAUAAAAAAUAAAAUAUAUACUGACAUGGAUUAAACAAAGAUAUAUAUUAUUUUAUGUUGUAUAAACAAAUUGGCAAAAUAGAGAUGGAAGAUAAAAAU